AUUCCUGUGAGAAAAAUACUCAGCAUUGGUUCUCUCAGAUUUAUGAUGCAUCAGAAACCUAAAGAACAUCCAGCAAACCAUGGACUGCGCAUGGAGGAAGACUUCUUUGGUGUGCUUGAAAAGGCUGCUUCACGGCCAAGGAGCUACAGAGCUUUCCAGUGAUGCACAGCACAGUCUCUCCUGGACAUGGACAAGCAAACCCUGCCUUCCAGAACCAGAAGUUUCUCUCUCUGGGAUACCAGCACCUUGUAUGUCCACCCAGAAGAUGCAAAGACUAUAAGCUUACAGCGCGGGAGAAUGAGAUUUUGCUAUUUCUUGGAAAUGAAAACAGCCCAAAGUCCAGAACUGCAUCACUCUGUGCACAAAGUUGGGCUGUUGCUGCCUGCAGAGGUGAUCCUGGAUCUCUGGAACCCCCCAGAAUGUGAAGGCACAAAUACAAAGCAGCAGAAGAAAUAGAGGGCAAUAUAAACACUGCUCAUGCUUUGCUUCUGUGCUGCUCCUGUUCACCAGAGCCAGGAGAGCCGAGCGUGGCGUUCCCACCCGUGACCAUGGCAGAGCACAGCCUGAUGCAGGGAUGGGAGACCCAAAGGGAUGCUGCGGUGCUGCAAAAACAAGGUAAAGCCUUUCUGCUUUAUGUCAUUUUAUUCCCAAGGGAUCUGUGGUAAAGCCCCUACCCCUUCUGUGAGAACAGAUAAAUCAUUUCGGAGCAAUUUUUACUAUCUCUAUUCCCUCUGCUGUGUAUUGGAGGACUGUUUUUCACCAGGAUCUCUAUUUCAUAGAUUCACAUUAGUAAAUUCAUAGAAUCACAGAAUGGCUUGGGUUGGAAGGGACCUCAAAGUUCCAACCCCUAUUUCUUACUUAAAGCUGUCAGGACAAUGCAGUUAUGAAUCAGGCCAAGUCGUUGUUGCUAUAUCAGAAGAAACCUAAGAACGGACUGGCUUUAAUAAGAAAUAAGUUAUAAUCCAUCCCCACAGUUAAAAUUCACGCAUAUGUGACUAUCAAAGCAGCGAUCACACAUUGCUCAUGCACAUUUACAAUCAGUUUCGUUUACAUUUUGGGAUGUACAGUAAGCAUUUAUUUUUGCAGGGAAUAUUUGCUACCCAAGAAAUUUUAGUGGCUCCCUGUUGUAGGAACCAGCCCCUCUGCUUAUCCACAGGCUGAACACAGCUCAGACAGGCGGCGUCUGAGCUCCCUGCACCGCCGCAGUGCUGAACUUAGGCUCAAAUGGGAGAAAUUGCCUCUCUUCAAGAUGAGAGGGGAUUCAUUUUCCAUGCUAGCUCUUUCCUGGGGGUCUUUGCCAAGAAGAGAAAAACCACUUGCAGUUUUCUGUCUUUUCACCAUUUUUUUUUUUUUUUUUUUAAAGAACAUCAAAGUUAUCACUCCUGCUUUC
RNAcentral lists this long non-coding RNA (1390 nucleotides) under Phasianus colchicus (ring-necked pheasant). RNAcentral describes it as "lncRNA (ENSPCLG00000018613.1)". The record is from RNAcentral. Lineage: Eukaryota; Metazoa; Chordata; Aves; Galliformes; Phasianidae.